GGUCGUAGCUCAGUGGUAGAGCACUCGCCUAGCAUGUGUGAGGCCCUGAGUUCCAUCCUCAGCACCA
Molecule: transfer RNA, 67 nt
Filed under: Marmota monax (woodchuck)
Lineage: Eukaryota; Metazoa; Chordata; Mammalia; Rodentia; Sciuridae
Description: tRNA.Ala
Rfam family: tRNA
About the family: Transfer RNA (tRNA) molecules are approximately 80 nucleotides in length. Their secondary structure includes four short double-helical elements and three loops (D, anti-codon, and T loops).
Source: RNAcentral